Molecule: ribosomal RNA, 775 nt
Filed under: uncultured bacterium
Lineage: Bacteria
Description: bacterial SSU rRNA
Rfam family: Bacterial small subunit ribosomal RNA
Source: RNAcentral
AACCGGAGCUAAUACCGGAUAAUAUUUUGAACCGCAUGGUUCAAAAGUAAAAGACGGUCUUGCUGUCACUUAUAGAUGGAUCCGCGCUGCAUUAGCUAGUUGGUAAGGUAACGGCUUACCAAGGCAACGAUGCAUAGCCGACCUGAGAGGGUGAUCGGCCACACUGGAACUGAGACACGGUCCAGACUCCUACGGGAGGCAGCAGUAGGGAAUCUUCCGCAAUGGGCGAAAGCCUGACGGAGCAACGCCGCGUGAGUGAUGAAGGUCUUCGGAUCGUAAAACUCUGUUAUUAGGGAAGAACAUAUGUGUAAGUAACUGUGCACAUCUUGACGGUACCUAAUCAGAAAGCCACGGCUAACUACGUGCCAGCAGCCGCGGUAAUACGUAGGUGGCAAGCGUUAUCCGGAAUUAUUGGGCGUAAAGCGCGCGUAGGCGGUUUUUUAAGUCUGAUGUGAAAGCCCACGGCUCAACCGUGGAGGGUCAUUGGAAACUGGAAAACUUGAGUGCAGAAGAGGAAAGUGGAAUUCCAUGUGUAGCGGUGAAAUGCGCAGAGAUAUGGAGGAACACCAGUGGCGAAGGCGACUUUCUGGUCUGUAACUGACGCUGAUGUGCGAAAGCGUGGGGAUCAAACAGGAUUAGAUACCCUGGUAGUCCACGCCGUAAACGAUGAGUGCUAAGUGUUAGGGGGUUUCCGCCCCUUAGUGCUGCAGCUAACGCAUUAAGCACUCCGCCUGGGGAGUACGACCGCAAGGUGAAACUCAAAGGAAUUGACGGC